Molecule: ribosomal RNA, 442 nt
Filed under: uncultured bacterium
Lineage: Bacteria
Description: partial 16S ribosomal RNA
Rfam family: Bacterial small subunit ribosomal RNA
Source: RNAcentral
CCUACGGGAGGCUGCAGUGGGGGAUAUUGCACAAUGGGGGAAACCCUGAUGCAGCGACGCCGCGUGGGCGAAGAAGUAUUUCGGUAUGUAAAGCCCUAUCAGCAGGGAAGAAGAAAUGACGGUACCUGAGUAAGAAGCACCGGCUAAAUACGUGCCAGCAGCCGCGGUAAUACGUAUGGUGCAAGCGUUAUCCGGAUUUACUGGGUGUAAAGGGAGCGUAGGCGGCACGGCAAGCCUGAUGUGAAAGCCCGCGGCCCAACCGCGGGACUGCAUUGGGAACUACCGGGCUGGAGUGCCGGAGAGGUAGGCGGAAUUCCUGGUGUAGCGGUGAAAUGCGUAGAUAUUAGGAGGAACACCAGUGGCGAAGGCAGCCUACUGGACGGUGACUGACGCUGAGGCUCGAAAGCGUGGGGAGCAAACAGGAUUAGAUACCCGGGUAGUC